GAUGAACGCUGACAGAAUGCUUAACACAUGCAAGUCUACUUGAACUUCGGUUUGGGUGGCGGCCGGGUGAGUAACGCGUAAAGAACUUGCCUCACAGUUAGGGACAACAUUUGGAAACGAAUGCUAAUACCUGAUAUUAUGAUUUUAGGGCAUCCUAAGAUUAUGAAAGCUAUAUGCACUGUGAGAGAGCUUUGCGUCCCAUUAGCUAGUUGGAGAGGUAACGGCUCACCAAGGCGAUGAUGGGUAGCCGGCCUGAGAGGGUGAACGGCCACAAGGGGACUGAGACACGGCCCUUACUCCUACGGGAGGCAGCAGUGGGGAAUAUUGGACAAUGGACCAAAAGUCUGAUCCAGCAAUUCUGUGUGCACGAUGACGUUUUUCGGAAUGUAAAGUGCUUUCAGUUGGGAAGAAAAAAAUGACGGUACCAACAGAAGAAGUGACGGCUAAAUACGUG
This 454-nucleotide ribosomal RNA is filed under the name uncultured bacterium. RNAcentral describes it as "partial 16S ribosomal RNA". It matches the Rfam family "Bacterial small subunit ribosomal RNA", at positions 28 to 507 of the family's 1533-position model. The record is from RNAcentral.